GACGAACGCUGGCGGCGUGCUUAACACAUGCAAGUCGAGCGGUAAGGCCCUUUCGGGGGUACACGAGCGGCGAACGGGUGAGUAACACGUGGGUGACCUGCCCUCAGCUCUGGGAUAAGCCUGGGAAACUGGGUCUAAUACUGGAUAUGACUCCACGGUGCAUGUCGUGGGGUGGAAAGCCUUGUGCGGCUGAGGAUGGGCCCGCGGCCUAUCAGCUUGUUGGUGGGGUGANGGCCUACCAAGGCGACGACGGGUAGCCGGCCUGAGAGGGCGACCGGCCACACUGGGACUGAGACACGGCCCAGACUCCUACGGGAGGCAGCAGUGGGGAAUCUUGCGCAAUGGGCGAAAGCCUGACGCAGCGACGCCGCGUGAGGGAUGACG
This 384-nucleotide ribosomal RNA is filed under the name uncultured bacterium. Its description in RNAcentral is "bacterial SSU rRNA". It matches the Rfam family "Bacterial small subunit ribosomal RNA", at positions 28 to 413 of the family's 1533-position model. The record is from RNAcentral.